ACAUUUAAUGUUAAAUAGCUGCGGUAUCCUGACCGUGCAAAGGUAGCAUAAUCAUUAGUUUUUUAAUUGGAAGCUAGUAUGAAUGGUUGAACAAGGAAAAAUCUGUCUUUUUUAUUAAAAUUGAAAUUAACUUUUAGGUGAAAAGGCUUGAAUUAUCUAGAGGGACGAUAAGACCCUAUAAAGCUUAAUAAAUUUAAAUAUUUUAAAUAUUUUAUAUUAUAAAUUUCUUUGUUAAUGAUUUAUUUAGUUGGGGCGACAAUGGUAUAAAUAUAAAUAACUGCUAUUAAUAUUAAACAAUUAUAUUUGAUUAAAGAUGAAUACAUUUAUAUAAAUUGAUCCCUUUUAAGGAUUAAAAGAUCAAGUUACUUUAGGGAUAACAGCGUAAUUUUUUCUGAGAGUUCUUAUCAAAGAAAAAGUUUGCGACCUCGAUGUUGAAUUAAAAUGUCUAUACGGUGCAGCAGCCGUGCAAGAAGGUCUGUUCGACCUUUAAUUUUUUACGUGAUC
RNAcentral lists this ribosomal RNA (504 nucleotides) under Monomia rubromarginata. RNAcentral's name for it is "partial large subunit ribosomal RNA". It matches the Rfam family "Bacterial large subunit ribosomal RNA", at positions 1909 to 2605 of the family's 2925-position model. Lineage: Eukaryota; Metazoa; Arthropoda; Malacostraca; Decapoda; Portunidae. The record is from RNAcentral.